RNAcentral lists this ribosomal RNA (464 nucleotides) under Vreelandella stevensii. Its description in RNAcentral is "partial 16S ribosomal RNA". It matches the Rfam family "Bacterial small subunit ribosomal RNA", at positions 339 to 795 of the family's 1533-position model. The record is from RNAcentral. Lineage: Bacteria; Pseudomonadati; Pseudomonadota; Gammaproteobacteria; Oceanospirillales; Halomonadaceae.
CCACGGGUGGCUGCAGUGGGGAAUAUUGGACAAUGGGCGAAAGCCUGAUCCAGCCAUGCCGCGUGUGUGAAGAAGGCCUUCGGGUUGUAAAGCACUUUCAGUGGGGAAGAAAGCCUUGGGGCUAAUACCCUCGAGGAAGGACAUCACCCACAGAAGAAGCACCGGCUAACUCCGUGCCAGCAGCCGCGGUAAUACGGAGGGUGCGAGCGUUAAUCGGAAUUACUGGGCGUAAAGCGCGCGUAGGCGGUCUGAUAAGCCGGUUGUGAAAGCCCCGGGCUCAACCUGGGAACGGCAUCCGGAACUGUCAGGCUAGAGUGCAGGAGAGGAAGGUAGAAUUCCCGGUGUAGCGGUGAAAUGCGUAGAGAUCGGGAGGAAUACCAGUGGCGAAGGCGGCCUUCUGGACUGACACUGACGCUGAGGUGCGAAAGCGUGGGUAGCAAACAGGAUUAGAUACCCGGGUAGUC